UAUACCCCACGCAACUAGUUGCGGAGGGUAUAAUGUUUUUGACCCGUCCGUCCGUCCGUCCGUCUGUCAGUCCGUCAGUCCAUCAGUCCAUCAGUCCUGUUUCUUGUCAUUGCAACUCCUCUCAAACCACACAACAGAAUUUCACGAAACCUUUUUAGAUAAUAAGGACAUACUAUGUAGUUGUGCAUAUCGACAGGAAAUUACGAUUCAAUUCUUUUUCUAGGAGUUACGACCCUUUGAAAUUAUUUACUUUAAUGUACUACUGCAACAGUUUGUCAUCGCAACUCCUCUCAAACCACACAACAGAAUUUCAUGAAACCUUUUCAGAUAAUAAGGACAUACUACGUAGAUGUGCAUAUCGACAGGAAAUUACGAUUCAAUUUUUUUUCCAGGAGUUACGCCCCUUUGAACUUAUUUGCCCAAUAUACUACUGCAACCUUUUGUCAUCGCAACUCCUCUCAAACCACACAACAGAAUUUCAUGAAACUGUGUAGAUAAUAAGGACAUACUAUGUAGAUGUGCAUAUUGAUAGGAAAUUAUGAUUCAAUUUUUUAUACGACCGCAAAAAAAUUUUGUGGUCGUAUAUUGGUAUGACGUUGGCGUCGUCGUCGUCGUCCGGCGUCGUCGUCCGAAGACACAUUGGUUUUCCCACUCUAACUUUAGUUUAAGUGAAUGGAUCUUUUUGAAAUUUUACCAUAAGGUUAAAUACCACAAAAGGAAGGUUGGGAUUGAUUUUGGGGGUUAUGGUACCAACAGUUAAGGGAUUAGGGGCCAAAAAGGGGCCAAAAAUAAGCAUUUUUGUAACUUCCAGACAAUAACUUGUGUGUAAGUGUAUGGAUCUCUCUGACAUUGUACCACAAGGUUCCAUAUCACAAAGGGAAGGCUGUAAUUGAUUUUGGGGGUAAUUGCCUCAAAAUUUUAGGAAUUAGGGGCAAAAAAAGGGGCAAAAAACAAGCAUUUUUCUAGUUUCAUGACAAUAACUUGUGUGUAAGUGUUUGGAUAUUUCUGAAAUUGUACUACAAGGUUCCAUAUCACAAAGAGAAAGCUGGAAUUGAGUUUGGGGGUAAUUGCCCGAAACGUUUAGGAAUUGGGGGCCAAAAAGGGGCCAAAAAUAAGCAUUUUUCUAGUUUCCAGACAAUAACUUGUGUUCAAGUGUAUGGAUCUCUCUGAAAUUGUACUGCAAGGUACCAUACCACAAAGGGAAGGCUGGGAUUGAGUUUGGGGGUGAUGAAUCAUAAGGGGGUUCAAAAAAUUUGGGGGGGGGGAAUUUUUUUUUUUUUUUUUUUAAUUUUUUUAAUUUUUUUUUCUUUUAAA
This is a long non-coding RNA of Mytilus californianus (California mussel), 1314 nucleotides long. RefSeq lists it as uncharacterized. The record is from RefSeq and is a predicted model, not a curated record. The transcript has 2 exons. NCBI's taxonomy places the organism in Eukaryota, Metazoa, Mollusca, Bivalvia, Mytilida, Mytilidae.